AGCGUGUGUCCAAGAGUUUUAUGAUUGUAAAGGAUGGACCUUGUCUGGGAAGAGAGUUAAAAUGCGAUGUGAGCAGCUGCGGCCAGCAGCUUCCUGUGAUGGAGAAGCUUGCAGAUGGACGUAAAUGAUCGUAUGACUGAGGAAACAAAAGGCAUACAACAUCCCAGGGCUUCUAUUUUUCUCCAAAGAGUUCACAGAAGCCAAGGCCCAUAAAUUUUAUUGCUAGAUCAGACAAAAUAGAGAGAUGUGCCCACAGCAAUACAAUAUGAGAUGUCAAGUAUUUGUUGGAAUAGAGUUGUGAACGCAAUUUUUUGGCAGUUUUUUUUAUUUCAUGAGGAGAAAGGUUUUUAGUUUAUUUAAGUUGUAUUACCUUGAAAUCUUGGAGAAAAAUUAUGAAGUGACAGAAGUCAAAAAAGCGUUAUCGAAAUUUGUUUCUUGGAUGCUUGGUCAUUUUAAAGCAGAGAAACAGUUUACAUUGAUUUUGAUAUAGAUGUUAGUCGUUUCUUUGUAAUGACUAUAAAAAUGUUAUAAUCUAUAAUUUGGAAUUAAAUUUUAUUUAAAGACACACAUCCCUCAAACCUAUCAUGUGUAAAAUCUAAGGGCUAUUAGGUAUAAGGUAUAACUCUUUUUUGGUAAUAUUCUUCUAUGACUCUAUUACUGACACGGGAGUGUGUUACAAGGUACUUUGUGUCUGAGACCCUGCUCUUUGAGGUGAUUUAAGGAUUCAUGCCACCUUGGUCUUUAUUCUGAGGAGUUACAGACUGCAAGAGAUAAUCCACACACAAAUAACAACAAAACAGCGCAGUAAGAAAGAAGUACAUAGAACGGUGCUUCUUGGUCUAAAUUGUUCAUUCUUAAACAUUAACUUUGUGAAUUCUCUCGACAAAUCUGUAGAAGAAAAAAGGAUGGAUAAUAUUGUUCUGAAUUUACCAAUGAAGGUGUAAAAUGAAAUCACCCAAGGGCACAGUCAGCAACUGAGAAAUGCAGGUUUUUGCUUCCUCCCCAUAUACCAAGUUAUACUUACAACUCAGGGGCAAGAAUGGAUAUUAUAUGCUCCUGUCAAGGUCAAUAAUCAGAGAACACUUUUGACUGGAGUCAGAAGGAACAGGUGUAUGUUAUCUAAAUGGAGUUGAGGGUAAGAACACAAGCGAAAGGACACACAUGAUAAAGUAUAAAGGAUGCUCAGUUUACUUAUAAACAACUCACUGACCGGUGUGUGAAGCACCUGGAGAGGAAUCAGGCAAGUGGCAGGGAAAGGAAGGCAGCAUGAGUCAGAUGUAGAAUGUUUGGAGGAACUUGGACACAUUUAUUCCAUGGACACUGAGCAUCAUGGGAAACAUUUCAGCAAACCACAGACAGGUCAAAUAGGUGACUUGGGAAGAGUAACGUGGAAGCAUCUUGUUGACUUACCCUGAAAGAAUCUAGCUGGUGGAGAAACUGGAGUGGAUUGGAAAUUAAUGAGGGUGAAGGGUAAGAAAGUCAACUGAGUUUAAAUAGCCACUCAACAAUGUCCCACUUUUACAUCUAAGGGUCUGCCAAUUCUUAACCAUGCCAGAUUCAAAAUCUGCUAAUCCCAGUUGGAGAGGUUGGGUUUAACAAACAUUUACCUGCCUUUCUUAAGCAAAUAAGAAAUAUAUAACAACUGAGUUUCUUUAGACAUUGCACGGAAAUUUCUUCCCUUGACAAGUGGAGGUUCCACCAGAUUCCUUUGAAGAGCCUCUCUUGGUGUCAUUCCAGGAACCCUAGAAUAAUAGGAGAACUAAGAUGGCCUCUUGAUCCCCACACUCUCAUAGGCCUUUUGAACUGCUGCCCACGAGUCUCUAAACAGUGAUAUCAGAUCUGACUUGUUUCAUUGAACUUGCUUUGUUGAACUUAUUUGGCUAUUCUACAAUUUAUUUAAAAAGUAUGUCUUUGAAGAAAGGAAUUUUUUUUUGUGAGAGUGCAACAUUUGGUAAACAUAGUCAUAGUUCAUCUUCUCAUUCUUCUACUGCUUGCUUCACUUUCAAUUUUUCUUCCUCUUUCUGUACCAAGUCUUGACUCGUGUGUUUCCAU
This is a long non-coding RNA of Equus caballus (horse), 2052 nucleotides long. The record is from Ensembl. NCBI's taxonomy places the organism in Eukaryota, Metazoa, Chordata, Mammalia, Perissodactyla, Equidae.